GUAGUCCACGCCGUAAACGAUGAGUGCUAAGUGUUAGGGGGUUUCCGCCCCUUAGUGCUGCAGCUAACGCAUUAAGCACUCCGCCUGGGGAGUACGACCGCAAGGUUGAAACUCAAAGGAAUUGACGGGGACCCGCGCAAGCGGUGGAGCAUAGUGGUUUAAUUCGAAGCAACGCGAAGUAACCUUACCAAAUCUUGACAUCCUCUGACCCCUCUAGUAGAUUAGAGGUUUUUCCCCUUCGGGGGUACAGAGUGACAGGUGGUGCAUGGUUGUCGUCAG
RNAcentral lists this ribosomal RNA (279 nucleotides) under uncultured bacterium. RNAcentral's name for it is "partial 16S ribosomal RNA". It matches the Rfam family "Bacterial small subunit ribosomal RNA", at positions 790 to 1058 of the family's 1533-position model. The record is from RNAcentral.